RNAcentral lists this ribosomal RNA (242 nucleotides) under uncultured bacterium. RNAcentral's name for it is "partial 16S ribosomal RNA". It matches the Rfam family "Bacterial small subunit ribosomal RNA", at positions 15 to 252 of the family's 1533-position model. The record is from RNAcentral.
GAUCAUGGCUCAGGACGAACGCUGGCGGCGCGCCUAACACAUGCAAGUCGAACGAGCGAGAGAGAGCUUGCUUUCUCGAGCGAGUGGCGAACGGGUGAGUAACGCGUGAGGAACCUGCCUCAAAGAGGGGGACAACAGUUGGAAACGACUACUAAUACCGCAUAAGCCCACGACCCGGCAUCGGGAAGAGGGAAAAGGAGCAAUCCGCUUUGAGAUGGCCUCGCGUCCGAUUAGCUAGUUGG